Molecule: unclassified non-coding RNA, 3144 nt
Filed under: Homarus americanus (American lobster)
Lineage: Eukaryota; Metazoa; Arthropoda; Malacostraca; Decapoda; Nephropidae
Description: ankyrin repeat domain-containing protein 10-like, transcript variant X5
Source: RNAcentral
GCUGUGGUGUAGAGUGCAGUGUAACGUGGGUUUUCCGAGAAAUCUGACAUUUUACAUUAACAUCUUAAUAGUUAUCAUUAUUUAGCAUCAGCGAGAUGUCAGAUCAUGGUCACAGGACCAGUAGUGGCAGCUGGAGCGUCAUGAGUGAAAAUACUUUAUCUAAAAAUUUCCCGCUUCAUCGUGCAUGUCGGGACGGUGAUGUUGAAUCGCUCACGUUGCUUUUACAACAAGAAGCGGCUCGCUCACACAUCACGGUCGAGGACACUUACUAUGGCUGGACUCCAACACACUGGGCUGCAUACUUUGGCAAGCUGGAGUGCUUGCGAGUCCUAGUAAGUGGUGUGGGUAGUGGAGUGGCUGUACACCCUGGAAUGACAACUUCUCGCUUUACGCAGACUCCAGCCCACAUAGCUGCCUUUGCUGGACACCCUCAUUGUCUACAAUGGCUUUUACACACGGGAGUUGAUCCUAAUGCUCAGGAUUACUUAGGAGAGACCUCACUGCAUAAGGCUGCUCGCACUGGUUCUACAGAAUGUGUUGAUCUCCUUGUUGCUAACAGAGCCAAAAUUGGAAACCGCAACAACAAUGGGCAGACAGCUGCUCAACUUGCAAAUGCAUGCAGUUACACAGCCCUUGCCAAUCACUUGCUGCAAUUGGAAGGCAAACAAGGUGUGACAACGGAUGUGAAUAACUCUAUCACACGUAGUGUUCCAGCUCAUGGGCUCAAUGGUGGAGUCUUCCCACAUUGUGCUGAGUCAGCCCUUUUCACCAACAAACUCAUCCCUGUCUCAACCAAUGGCCAAACAACUAAUGCUGCUGUGUCAUCAUCUGUCACAACUACAAAUGGAAAUGCUAAUUCCACUAAUGGUUGCACUAGCAAUGGUACAUGUACUUCAUCCAAUGGCUAUUAUGGAUUCCAGCCAGCAAAUAACCAUAGUAAUGGACACGUGAAUGGCCAAACAAAUGUUUUCAUAAAUGGCUGUAAUGAGCAAUCAGAUGAGUGUGACAUGGAAACUGAUGUGACACCUGUUAAUGAAGGCUGUAAUGGAUCUGCCACCAGUCACAAAAGUGGCCCUGAAUCUGGCUUGCUUAAGACCUCCAUAAAUGGUUUGCAGUCUCAGUCAGUAAAUGGUCAUACAGAUAAGAUUCCAUUUGGAUUUACUAAUGGACAUGUAAUUGGAACAGUUCUUGGAUUUGCAAAUGGACACACUGCUGGCAACAUGCCAAAGUUUACAAAUGGUCAUAGUACUUGUGGAAGUAACCAGAAUGGCACAAAUGGUUUUACUUCAAAAAUUCAAAGUAAUAUGGGAGAAGAUAUCACAAUUAACCCUGGUGUUUCACAAAACCACAUUCCAAUAGCAGGCUGCAAGAGAUCAAGAGAAGAAGGAAUUAUUCCCGAGAUGAAGAGGAUGAGAACUGAGGGCUCUCUGUGUCUUCGUGAUACCUGCAGCCCAACCAGAUUACAAGCUUUAUGCUCCAGCCACCAACUCAGAGUUCCGUUUUGUGAUAUCACAAACAAUUCAUAUACAUGUAGUCCCAUCAGGGCUUUUGAGCAACCUAAAGUUCAGAAUCCUAGUUUUGUAAGCAAUGAAAAAGAGGGAGAGAUUUCUUGUAGACCUGAAGUCGACGAUGAGUCAGUAGCAAUGGAUGAAGUGGAGAGUGUGGGCGAGGGAAUCAUUGGAAACUGUACAGCAGCUGAAGCUGUAGUUGAUACAACCUCAGAGCUUUAUGCAGAAAUGCUCAGAGAGACUCAUGGCUGUGAACCAUACCUGUUUCUCUAUUAAUGAAAUAUCCCUAUAUUAAUUAUAUAGAAGAGGAAGUGGACACAGAAGCAUUGGUAGAUAGUUAAGCUCGCAUGGGGACGUCGUGGGUCGGGCAGGGGGGACUGGGCUCCUCCUCGAUGAACCCUGUGGGUGCGCUGGGGAAGCUGCUCGGCACCAAGCUAAGCCCUCUGCACACAGACAAAGACAGGUGUGAGAGUGUGUCAAGUGCAGUGCAGUACCUCCCAGGUAAAGAAGGAUCUCUCCCACACUACCUCUUCACAAGUCAUACCUGAAUUCUCUUCUAUGCUCGACCACGUUUCCACCAUCAAGGCUGAGAAUGGUUAUGAAUCAGUCAAUUUUGACACAAUGAUGACAGAAAUGCAUGGAUGUUAACUUUUUACAAGUUUAUGUUAUGAAUCAAGAUAUUUAGUAACAAACUAUUUAGUUUAAUAAUUUACAGGUGACCGGUUUUUAAAUAUUUUCACUGAUACAGUAGUGUGUACUUUUGUUACAAGAGUGCUCAUAUAGUAAUGGCUGUUUUUAUCUUAAUGACUGAUGUCCUUUUUUCUCUUUUUGGGGGGCAUUUGUACAUUUAAUAAAUGUUUAUUAGUUGCAGAUCAUUAACAAACAAAUGUUAUUACUGCAGAAUCAUAGGGAGCCUAUGAAAUUAUUUCUUUAAGAUUAAAAACACAGCUUUCAUAAAACAACUUUAGAUCUUAGUAAUAACCAUUUGGAGAAUACAUACAUGACUUAACAGCAAGAUUGAGUGUUGUAAAUGAGGACCUGAGACAGAGAUAAGAAGGGAUGUCAUUGCAUUACUCUUGAUUUGUUGUCUGAUCGUUUUUUAUCUUUCUUGAACUUUUUCCUAGUUUAAACUUCAUUUUCAGAAAUAUUUUCUGUUGUUUUUUUUUUAACCACCGAUAUCUAUAGCUUCAAUGCACUAUUAGAUGUAGGGAAAUAAGAACAGUCAGGGAUUCCUCCUCUUUUUUUUUAUAAGUAAAAAUUAUAUGCAGAUUACUGUCAUUUGUUUUGUAUACAAUUUUUUUUUUAUUUCUUUGAAUCCCAUGUCAUUUCUUAUUUUCCAUUAUUUUACAUAAAGUACCUCAUGAUAACCAAAUGUUGUACUGGUUAGUGAGGAAACAUCCUGGUAAUAGUAAGUGGAUGCUCUUUAGGCUGCUGAGCAAAACAAUAUGUUUUCACACUUAUAACACAAAAACAAUGUUAUUACAGAAUUGUCACACACCAGUAUGACUGUAUGUAUACCAUUUAUACAAAUAUUGCAUCAGGGAUGUAAGAUAUAGUAUUUAUUACCCAUAUUUAAUACCAACUCAAUCAAUUGAAACUAAGUCAUGAUGUAUUUUGAGAUCUUCAUUCUUAUAUA